GUCAUCACCGGGAAGAAGCACGAGCUGGAGAAGGCUGGCGGGGAGCCGGAGCCCGCUUCGCGGGUGUGCACGGUGCUGGUGAGCCGCGCCACGCUCCAGGUCUGCAUUCAGCUAACACAUUCUCCAGGAACGAAGUGACCUGGCAAGAGAAUCAAGACGCGAAACCAAGUCUCCUGGUUUCAAAUGCCAUGCCCUCUCCACUGCCACAUUCUGCCAUGAGAACUCUGACAUCCAUAUGAAUGUUGCUUUUGCAGCCUGAUUUCUCCUCCUUUAUUGCAAGAGUUCUUAAGUUGUGUUCCUCCAUCACUGGCCACUCCCACCCCCAGCUCCCACGCUGGAAGCAUCUAAAACAGAACGGAGUCAGUCAAGGGGCGUUUCACGAACACUACCAUUUGCUGGGCAUAUUCCAGUCUCCAGGAACACAGGAGUGAAUGUGUCUUACGAAGUUCCUACUUUCACGGGAAAGGACAAAGAAAACACUAAACAAAAUGCAUUCUACUGGGGAGGACCUCAUUGAGGAGGUGACCUCUGAGGGAUCCAAGUGACGUGAAGGGGAGAAGCGGUCCAGGCACAGGAAGCAACCGGCCUGAGGUGGGUACUCGGCUGGCAGUGGCCAAGAUGAGCCAGGAGGGCCAGAUGUGCAGUAAGCAAGGGAACAGUCAAGUGUCAGCCCAGACCGCCAACGUUCAUUCCUGUUUGCCGUCAGACCUCUCCAGGUGCACCUCCUGGCGGGUUCCCUCUUGAGCUCGUCUGGCUAUUCGCCUGUCUACCGAGGUCUCUGUUUUCACUUCCAAGAUCUGUAACCAUCCUUUUUUGUUCUGGAUACCGUAUCACCUUACUUUUUUCUGAUUUGGAUUAUGCUUGUUUUAUAAUUAACCUCUUUACUGACAUUAUCACCUUUCACUGUAUAACAUUUGCUAUUUUAAGAAUCUUAGUUGUUUCUUCAUUUCCAUACUUGGUGGGUGGGG
RNAcentral lists this long non-coding RNA (968 nucleotides) under Lynx canadensis (Canada lynx). Its description in RNAcentral is "lncRNA (ENSLCNG00005006289.1)". Lineage: Eukaryota; Metazoa; Chordata; Mammalia; Carnivora; Felidae. The record is from RNAcentral.